Non-coding RNA from Picea glauca (white spruce), 1633 nucleotides. The record is from Rfam. Lineage: Eukaryota; Viridiplantae; Streptophyta; Pinopsida; Pinales; Pinaceae.
UAGAAGCAUUCCAUAGUGUUCUUCAUAAAAGUCUGGUCCUUAUGAAUAAUAUGAAAGAGUUGUAUGUAGAAUGUUGAUUAACCAACUAUCCAGCUCCAUGUUCUGGGAUGGGAAUGCCUUUGAUAAGAUCUUGACCAACCUCAUGAUAAAUGAGAUAAUCUAGGGCCUUUACUGCCAUUUUAAAAAAGACUUUUGUUGGAUAGACCCCAAGUGUUCCAUAUCCUAUGAUUCACACUUGUUGAUAGGCAGGAAGACUGAGGCUUUGUAGAGUGUCUCUAAAGCAUAGAGGAAAAAUUUCCUGAAUUCCAUGGCCUUGAUCAUGCCUAUAUUUGAGGGUCAUUCGAUUAUGUCAUAAUAUUUCCCAAAAAUAAAUCUCAAUGAAGAGGGUGUUGAAAUCAAGGAAACAUUUGAGGGUAUUCCAUAACUUUUUCCCCUUCAAGAAAUAUCAUUGACAACAUGCACUCAUUUUCCUCCUCUGCAUCAAUCAUGUGAAAAUCCCCACAAACUAACAAAUGGAUUUCCAAUGAUUUGUCAAUAAUCCAUUUCUAUAAAAGGGCACAUUCAUCAUUAGACACAUAGAAGUUGGAUAAAACCAACAACCUUCCAUCCAGAGUCAACAAAAUUGAAACCCAUUUUUUAGAGUUGUUGGUGCCUCAUCCUAUAACUGACGACAACAUUAGGAAAUAUGGAGACGUCGUUGGGGGCCCCGAGAAGAGUUAUAUCUAUAUUUUUAACAGCUUUCCCACCCUGAAAUUGGCUCAACUAGAGAUAGGGUCUAACAGGUGGAAGAGAAUCGCAUGUCUUGCAAUGUCUGGUGCGCCCUCGACGACCCUUGAAAAUAUGGAGGACCGAGUACCGUCCAUGCCCGAUUGUACUCAUAAUCGCAUCAGGUCUCCAAGGUGAACAAACUCUGGUCAAUAGAAAAAUGUAGGUAAGGGACAUCGGAAAAACGGAUCCGUAACUUCGGGAAAAGGAUUGGCUCUAAGAGCCGGGCCUAGGGGUCUAUGUCCUCAACCCGUGGGUUGUCAGCAGUCUGCCUGAGCCGCUAUCAUGGAGAGGGCGGGUAGUCAUGUGUCGAUUGGGCUACAAAUGUAGGAUGCCCCCUUGCAGGGUAUUUUCCCUAGGUGGCAAAUGGAUGGUGGAAAUUCCCACAGGGAGAAACACCAAUUUUCGUGGACCGUUGGAUCUAGUAGAUAUGCGGGGAGAAUAAGGGAGAGAGUUUUUCAACACUUGUAAGCUCAGGAGGAAUAGUAGCCAUUAGAUCUGAAGGAGCAAGAGCCAUUGAUUUAGCGCUCUGAAAUAUCAACAUUUCGGGAGUCGAGAGUGUGGAGGAAGUUGCAAUUUAGAAUUCGUGAGUUGCGAAAUCCCAGUUCACAAAGGAAGAACCUAGAGCGUCGGAUUAGGGAGAUGAGGGCUGUCGAUAUGGCAUAGCAAUCAUCGCGAGUUUGUAUUUCAGGAAAAGGGAAGAGAACCACUUCACAAACCCCCUAUACAUGAAAUCCCGACGUGCUCAGAGGUUGGGCCCUAGGUCGCAGCUGGAGGUCAACCGGAGCAAACUUACAAAAUUGGGGAAGACUUGAAAAUUUGGAAGUGAGCUUGUUCUUCUUUGAAAUCGAUGAUUUUAUACUCUCUC